AAGUCGUAACAAGGUUUCCGUAGGUGAACCUGCGGAAGGAUCAUUAAAACGUAUCCAACGUUAACCAACCGUGAACUUGUCCCCUCCCUCAGUAGGAGAGUUGAGUUGCGUGUGCGAAGUGGAUGGGGCGCAUUCGUGCGUCGUCGUCACGUGGCCACUGAGGUCUUUUUGGACUUCGACAACAUACUCCGUCUGAGGCUUUUUUUGUCUCUCUUCUCAAUGCUCUCUAUCACGAGCGAGAGGAGGGGCGUCAUCGACUCAUUUUUUAACACACCAUUUUCACCCCCUUUUUUGCUAGUUGAUUUUUUCAUGCUGAGAAGAGCGAAAGCUCUUUUCAUCACGUUUCUUAAUUGAACGUAAAAUACAACUCUUAGCAAUGGAUAUCUAGGUUCUC
This 394-nucleotide unclassified non-coding RNA is filed under the name fungal sp. Its description in RNAcentral is "partial internal transcribed spacer region". The stretch from base 1 to 46 matches the Rfam family "Eukaryotic small subunit ribosomal RNA", at positions 1786 to 1831 of the family's 1831-position model. Lineage: Eukaryota; Fungi. The record is from RNAcentral.